This 253-nucleotide ribosomal RNA is filed under the name uncultured bacterium. RNAcentral describes it as "partial 16S ribosomal RNA". It matches the Rfam family "Bacterial small subunit ribosomal RNA", at positions 524 to 776 of the family's 1533-position model. The record is from RNAcentral.
UACGUAGGGGGCUAGCGUUGUCCGGAUUUAUUGGGCGUAAAGAGCGUGUAGGCGGCCAGGUAGGUCUGCUGUGAAAACUCGAGGCUCAACCUCGAGACGUCGGCGGAAACCAUCUGGCUAGAGUCCGGAAGAGGAGAGUGGAAUUCCUGGUGUAGCGGUGAAAUGCGCAGAUAUCAGGAAGAACACCAGUGGCGAAGGCGGCUCACUGGCUCGUAACUGACGCUGAGGCGCGACAGCGUGGGGAGCAAACAGG